GCCGAUGUAGCUCAGUGGUAGAGCGCUUGCUUCCCAAGCAAGAUAUGCGGGUUCGAUUCCCGUCAUCGGCUCCG
Molecule: transfer RNA, 74 nt
Filed under: Aeromicrobium marinum DSM 15272
Lineage: Bacteria; Bacillati; Actinomycetota; Actinomycetes; Propionibacteriales; Nocardioidaceae
Also listed under: 1 other name
Description: tRNA-Gly
Rfam family: tRNA
About the family: Transfer RNA (tRNA) molecules are approximately 80 nucleotides in length. Their secondary structure includes four short double-helical elements and three loops (D, anti-codon, and T loops). Further hydrogen bonds mediate the characteristic L-shaped molecular structure. tRNAs have two regions of fundamental functional importance: the anti-codon, which is responsible for specific mRNA codon recognition, and the 3' end, to which the tRNAs corresponding amino acid is attached (by aminoacyl-tRNA synthetases). tRNAs cope with the degeneracy of the genetic code in two manners: having more than one tRNA (with a specific anti-codon) for a particular amino acid; and 'wobble' base-pairing, i.e. permitting non-standard base-pairing at the 3rd anti-codon position.
Source: RNAcentral